CUGGCUCAGAUUGAACGCUGGCGGCAUGCCUUACACAUGCAAGUCGAACGGCAGCACGGGGGCAACCCUGGUGGCGAGUGGCGAACGGGUGAGUAAUACAUCGGAACGUGUCCUGGAGUGGGGGAUAGCCCGGCGAAAGCCGGAUUAAUACCGCAUACGCUCUGUGGAGGAAAGCGGGGGAUCUUUCGGGACCUCGCGCUCAAGGGGCGGCCGAUGGCAGAUUAGGUAGUUGGUGGGGUAAAGGCCUACCAAGCCGACGAUCUGUAGCUGGUCUGAGAGGACGACCAGCCACACUGGGACUGAGACACGGCCCAGACUCCUACGGGAGGCAGCAGUGGGGAAUUUUGGACAAUGGGCGCAAGCCUGAUCCAGCAAUGCCGCGUGUGUGAAGAAGGCCUUCGGGUUGUAAAGCACUUUUGUCCGGAAAGAAAACCUCUGGGUUAAUACCCUGGGGGGAUGACGGUACCGGAAGAAUAAGCACCGGCUAACUACGUGCCAGCAGCCGCGGUAAUACGUAGGGUGCGAGCGUUAAUCGGAAUUACUGGGCGUAAAGCGUGCGCAGGCGGUGAAUGUAAGACCGAUGUGAAAUCCCCGGGCUUAACCUGGGAACUGCAAUUGGUGACUGCAUCGCUCGAGUAUGGCAGAGGGGGGUAGAAUUCCACGUGUAGCAGUGAAAUGCGUAGAGAUGUGGAGGAAUACCGAUGGCGAAGGCAGCCCCCUGGGUCAAUACUGACGCUCAUGCACGAAAGCGUGGGGAGCAAACAGGAUUAGAUACCCUGGUAGUCCACGCCCUAAACGAUGUCAACUGGUUGUCGGGCCUUCAUUGGCUUGGUAACGUAGCUAACGCGUGAAGUUGACCGCCUGGGGAGUACGGUCGCAAGAUUAAAACUCAAAGGAAUUGACGGGGACCCGCACUAGCGGUGGAUGAUGUGGAUUAAUUCGAUGCAACGCGAAAAACCUUACCUACCCUUGACAUGUAUGGACCCCGCUGAGAGGUGGGGGUGCCCGAAAGGGAGCCAUAACACAGGUGCUGCA
This 1035-nucleotide ribosomal RNA is filed under the name Burkholderia sp. S3.LIG.004. RNAcentral describes it as "bacterial SSU rRNA". It matches the Rfam family "Bacterial small subunit ribosomal RNA", at positions 19 to 1045 of the family's 1533-position model. The record is from RNAcentral. Lineage: Bacteria; Pseudomonadati; Pseudomonadota; Betaproteobacteria; Burkholderiales; Burkholderiaceae.